GCGUUGGUGGUGAAACGAUUCAGCACACAUCUCCGAGAAAGAUCGAGAUCUGGGUUCGAACCCCGGCUGGCGCA
Non-coding RNA from Parelaphostrongylus tenuis, 74 nucleotides. The record is from the annotation of a GenBank genome assembly. Lineage: Eukaryota; Metazoa; Nematoda; Chromadorea; Rhabditida; Metastrongylidae.